GUGACAGUGUUUACCAGAGAGCCCUUCCCUGGGACAGAGGCCUGACCAACCAAGCAGUUGGCUUCCCAGCAACGCCCCGGGUCUGAAGGGAGGCCAGCUCUCUGCGCUCAUUUGGGUGGCUUGUUUAUUUCCACACGUUCCUGGUUUAGUUAUCAUCACCACCUUUUGAUCGUCUCUUAAUGGGCACCGUAGAAGACACCUGUCCAUCUUACCAAGAAUAUUCACCAAAGGCCACGGAGCCAGCCUCGGCCAAGGUGAACCACUGGUAGAGCCAGUCCUACUCUCCAGCCACCCACCAUGUCUGCUUUCAGAAACUUUCACAAGUUCCUAAAAAAGUUAUGGGGUCUAAGCACCAGCCCCCGCUGCCUAAUGGUUUCAGGACCUUGCUUUGAGAAACAAGCUGCAGCCUGGACAAGCUCGGAGUCCACCCUGGCUCCAGACUCCUGCUGGCGUCUGGGUCCUUCUCUCACUGACGUCAGCUGAACUGACCCCCAGAUUCUGCCGGGUUAUUUCCCAAUGCCUUCUACUCAGUCCUCCCUGAGAUCGUAUUCCGAGGAGGUCCGAGCAGAAAGUCUUCCAAUAACUCCACGAACGCCCGCGAACACAAGAGCCCAGGAUGUCUUGCGGCCAGCCUCCCCUGGGUGGACGCCCCGUGGCUGUGCUGCACCCACACCUGCUCUGGUGGGGCUGCUGGCCUGUUCACGGGAAGCAGAACGUUCUGUCUUCCACUCUCCCUGUCCUGGCCCUGCGAAGAUUCACCUACUGGGAAAGCUAGGAAAGCCAAGAUGUCUUUGAACUUAACUGUUUUAUGUGUUUUCUUAGCAUUUUGGUCUGGGACAUCUGUCUUUGCUUAAAAGCACAUCUAUUUAUAUCAACAACCGUUUAUAUCGGGUCCUUGGAGACCAAUUCAUGCAGAUGUUGCCUAUUGUGGGUUUUUCCUCCGAUUCACUUUGAAAAAAUGUGGAAUUCAUUACUACCCUGCUCCCUCCCCAAUAAAGUUA
Molecule: long non-coding RNA, 1001 nt
Organism: Marmota monax (woodchuck)
Lineage: Eukaryota; Metazoa; Chordata; Mammalia; Rodentia; Sciuridae
Exons: 3
Source: RefSeq, a predicted model, not a curated record